CGGUGGAUAGCUCAAUAGGUAGAGCGCAUGAUUAGUCAUCAUGAGUUGUUGGUUCGAUUCCAACUCCAUCAA
This 72-nucleotide transfer RNA is filed under the name Lyngbya sp. PCC 8106. It matches the Rfam family "tRNA". From Rfam's summary of the family: Transfer RNA (tRNA) molecules are approximately 80 nucleotides in length. Their secondary structure includes four short double-helical elements and three loops (D, anti-codon, and T loops). RNAcentral also lists the same sequence under 2 other names. Lineage: Bacteria; Bacillati; Cyanobacteriota; Cyanophyceae; Oscillatoriales; Microcoleaceae. The record is from Rfam by way of RNAcentral.